UACGUAGGGUGCAAGCGUUGUCCGGAAUUACUGGGCGUAAAGCGCACGUAGGCGGACUGGAAAGUUGGGGGUGAAAGCCCAGGGCUCAACCCUGGAACUGCCUUCAAAACUCCCAGUCUUGAGGUCGAGAGAGGUGAGUGGAAUUCCGAGUGUAGAGGUGAAAUUCGUAGAUAUUCGGAGGAACACCAGUGGCGAAGGCGGCUCACUGGCUCGAUACUGACGCUGAGGUGCGAAAGCGUGGGGAGCAAACAGG
Molecule: ribosomal RNA, 253 nt
Filed under: uncultured bacterium
Lineage: Bacteria
Description: partial 16S ribosomal RNA
Rfam family: Bacterial small subunit ribosomal RNA
Source: RNAcentral